This is a long non-coding RNA of Mustela lutreola (European mink), 405 nucleotides long. RefSeq lists it as uncharacterized. The transcript has 2 exons. NCBI's taxonomy places the organism in Eukaryota, Metazoa, Chordata, Mammalia, Carnivora, Mustelidae. The record is from RefSeq and is a predicted model, not a curated record.
GUGACAUCAGGAUGGCUCCUUUUCUUCGCAGGACCUAGCGUGGGACCAGGGGAGAGACUCAGGAGAGUGAAUUGUUUUAUUUUCACUUCCUCAGAGGCCCAGGUAUAGUCAGUUCUGAGAUAGAGGAUCCCGGGAGGGCACGCCUAUCCCAGACGUUAGAGAGGCUCUGGGAUCAGGCAGCGGCUGUGUCUGAGCUCCCGCUCUGGGCCAGGCAGCUCUCACGGAGAAGCCCAAGAUUUUUCUUACCGUCCAUGUUAAACUUGAGCACAUUUGGAAAUAUUUUAGACCUGAAAGAAAACAUCGGGACAUCAAAACAAUCACUACAGCUGGGCAGGGCCUCUGCAGCCACAGGCUUGCUGAUGAAAAGAUUUGUGGAGACUGCCUAAUGAAGUGUUCAGAAAGCGU